GACGAACGCUGGCGGCGUGCUUAACACAUGCAAGUCGAACGGAAAGGCCCUGCUUGCAGGGUACUCGAGUGGCGAACGGGUGAGUAACACGUGGGUGAUCUGCCCUGCACUUCGGGAUAAGCCUGGGAAACUGGGUCUAAUACCGGAUAGGAGCCAUCUUUAGUGUGAUGGUUGGAAAGUUUUUUUCGGUGUAGGAUGAGCUCGCGGCCUAUCAGCUUGUUGGUGGGGUAAUGGCCUACCAAGGCGGCGACGGGUAGCCGGCCUGAGAGGGUGGACGGCCAAGUGGGGCCUGAGAGACGGCCCAGACUCCGACGGGAGGCAGCAGUGGGGAAGGGUGCACCAUGGGCGGAAGCCUGAGGCAGCAACUCCGAGUGCGGGAUGACGGCCUGCGGGUUGGAAACAGAGUUCGCCUGAGACGAAGCGUGAGUGACGGUAAUGGGUAAAGAAGCACCGGCUAACUAAGUG
Molecule: ribosomal RNA, 465 nt
Filed under: uncultured bacterium
Lineage: Bacteria
Description: partial 16S ribosomal RNA
Rfam family: Bacterial small subunit ribosomal RNA
Source: RNAcentral